GACGAACCGUGCGAACGUUGUUCGGAAUCACUGGGCGUAAAGGGCGCGUAGGCGGCUUUAUAAGUCGGGGGUGAAAGCCUGUGGCUCAACCACAGAAUUGCCUUCGAUACUGUAGAGCUUGAGACCGGAAGAGGUAAGUGGAACUGCGAGUGUAGAGGUGAAAUUCGUAGAUAUUCGCAAGAACACCAGUGGCGAAGGCGGCUUACUGGUCCGGUUCUGACGCUGAGGCGCGAAAGCGUGGGGAGCAAACAGG
This 253-nucleotide ribosomal RNA is filed under the name uncultured bacterium. RNAcentral describes it as "partial 16S ribosomal RNA". It matches the Rfam family "Bacterial small subunit ribosomal RNA", at positions 524 to 776 of the family's 1533-position model. The record is from RNAcentral.